ACCGGUGACACGGGGUGCCGCCCUCUGGAGAGCGGUGGCUGAGAUGACACCCGUCGAACCUGAUCCAGUUAGCACUGGCGAAGGGAUUGUCCGCGUCGGCGACA
RNAcentral lists this non-coding RNA (104 nucleotides) under Gordonia araii. RNAcentral describes it as "TPP sequence". It matches the Rfam family "TPP riboswitch aptamer (THI element)". Rfam says of the family: Vitamin B(1) in its active form thiamin pyrophosphate (TPP) is an essential coenzyme that is synthesised by coupling of pyrimidine and thiazole moieties in bacteria. The previously detected thiamin-regulatory element, thi box was extended, resulting in a new, highly conserved RNA secondary structure, the THI element, which is widely distributed in eubacteria and also occurs in some archaea. The record is from RNAcentral. Lineage: Bacteria; Bacillati; Actinomycetota; Actinomycetes; Mycobacteriales; Gordoniaceae.